AUUAUAGUAAGUGGCAGUAUCAUAACCAAUGAAGUUAAUCUGAGGUGUGAUUAUUGCUAGUUGAAAACUUUUCCCAAUACUUUGCUAUAAGGUCUUGCUUCUUGUAUGCAUUGCGAACUAAGUUG
Molecule: small nuclear RNA, 125 nt
Filed under: Chelonoidis abingdonii (Abingdon island giant tortoise)
Lineage: Eukaryota; Metazoa; Chordata; Testudines; Testudinidae
Description: U4 spliceosomal RNA (ENSCABG00000014295.1)
Rfam family: U4 spliceosomal RNA
About the family: U4 small nuclear RNA (U4 snRNA) is a component of the major U2-dependent spliceosome. The structure of U4 snRNA from yeast and human has been reported. U4 snRNA presents a k-turn RNA motif in the 5p-SL related to recognition of Snu13 protein.
Source: RNAcentral